Molecule: ribosomal RNA, 426 nt
Filed under: uncultured bacterium
Lineage: Bacteria
Description: partial 16S ribosomal RNA
Rfam family: Bacterial small subunit ribosomal RNA
Source: RNAcentral
GUGAGGAAUUUUCCGCAAUGGGCGAAAGCCUGACGGAGCAAUGCCGCGUGAAGGAUGAAGGCCUAUGGGUUGUAAACUUCUUUUCUUAGAGAAGACUAUUGACGGUAUCUGAGGAAUAAGCAUCGGCUAACUCUGUGCCAGCAGCCGCGGUAAGACAGAGGAUGCAAGCGUUAUCCGGAAUGAUUGGGCGUAAAGCGUCUGUAGGUGGCUUCAAAAGUCUCCUGUCAAAGAUCAGGGCUUAACCCUGGGCCGGCAGGAGAAACUCUGAGGCUAGAGUUUGGGAGGGGCAGGGGGAAUUCCCGGUGGAGCGGUGAAAUGCGUAGGGAUCGGGAGGAACACCAAGGGCGAAAGCACUCUGCUGGGCCACAACUGACACUGAGAGACGAAAGCGAGGGGAGCAAAAGGGAUUAGAUACCCGGGUAGUCC